Molecule: ribosomal RNA, 331 nt
Filed under: uncultured eukaryote
Lineage: Eukaryota
Description: partial 18S ribosomal RNA
Rfam family: Eukaryotic small subunit ribosomal RNA
Source: RNAcentral
CCCUUAGAUGUUCUGGGCCGCACGCGCGCUACACUGUUCGACGCAGCGAGUCUUAACCUUGACCGAAAGGUUUGGGUAAUCUUCAGCAAAGUCGAACGUGAUGGGGAUCGAUCAUUGCAAUUAUUGAUCGUGAACGAGGAAUUCCUAGUAAGUGCAAGUCAUCAGCUUGCGCUGAUUACGUCCCUGCCCUUUGUACACACCGCCCGUCGCUACUACCGAUUGAAUGGUUUAGUGAGAUCUCUGGAUUGACGCUGGCUAGGGGGCGACCCUUGGCCAGGCUGUCGAGAAACUGCUCAAACUUGAUCAUUUAGAGGAAGUAAAAGUCGGAACA